This 497-nucleotide ribosomal RNA is filed under the name uncultured bacterium. Its description in RNAcentral is "partial 16S ribosomal RNA". It matches the Rfam family "Bacterial small subunit ribosomal RNA", at positions 28 to 507 of the family's 1533-position model. The record is from RNAcentral.
GAUGAACGCUGGCGGCGUGCCUAAUACAUGCAAGUCGAGCGAACGGACGAGAAGCUUGCUUCUCUGAUGUUAGCGGCGGACGGGUGAGUAACACGUGGAUAACCUACCUAUAAGACUGGGAUAACUUUGGGAAACCGUAGCUAAUACCGGAUAAUAUUUUGAACCGCAUGGUUCAAAAGUGAAAGACGGUCUUGCUGUCACUUAUAGAUGGAUCCGCGCUGCAUUAGCUAGUUGGUAAGGUAACGGCUUACCAAGGCAACGAUGCAUAGCCGACCUGAGAGGGUGAUCGGCCACACUGGAACUGAGACACGGUCCAGACUCCUACGGGAGGCAGCAGUAGGGAAUCUUCCGCAAUGGGCGAAAGCCUGACGGAGCAACGCCGCGUGAGUGAUGAAGGUCUUCGGAUCGUAAAACUCUGUUAUUAGGGAAGAACAUAUGUGUAAGUAACUGUGCACAUCUUGACGGUACCUAAUCAGAAAGCCACGGCUAACUACGUG